GAUGAACGCUGGCGGCGUGCUUAACACAUGCAAGUCGAACGGAAAGGCCAGUGCUUGCACUGGUACUCGAGUGGCGAACGGGUGAGUAACACGUGGGUGAUCUGCCCUGCACUUCGGGAUAAGCCUGGGAAACUGGGUCUAAUACCGGAUAGGACAAUGGUUUGGAUGCCGUUGUGGAAAGUUUUUUCGGUGUGGGAUGAGCUCGCGGCCUAUCAGCUUGUUGGUGGGGUAAUGGCCUACCAAGGCGUCGACGGGUAGCCGGCCUGAGAGGGUGUACGGCCACAUUGGGACUGAGAUACGGCCCAGACUCCUACGGGAGGCAGCAAGGGGGAAUAUUGCACAAUGGGCGCAAGCCUGAGGCAGCGACGCCGCGUGGGGGAUGACGGCCUUCGGGUUGUAAACUCCUUUCGCUAGGGACGAAGCGUAUUUGUGACGGUACCUGGAGAAGAAGCACCGGCUAACUACGUG
Molecule: ribosomal RNA, 468 nt
Filed under: uncultured bacterium
Lineage: Bacteria
Description: partial 16S ribosomal RNA
Rfam family: Bacterial small subunit ribosomal RNA
Source: RNAcentral